This 125-nucleotide small RNA is filed under the name Marmota monax (woodchuck). The record is from RNAcentral. Lineage: Eukaryota; Metazoa; Chordata; Mammalia; Rodentia; Sciuridae.
GUCAGGCAUGGUGGUGCACGCCUGUAAUCCCAGUAGCCUGGGAGGCUGAGGCAGAAGGAUCAUGAGUUCAUUGCCAGCCUCAGCAAAAGUCAGGCACUAAGCAACUCAGUGAGACCCUGUCUCUA